RNAcentral lists this ribosomal RNA (484 nucleotides) under uncultured bacterium. RNAcentral's name for it is "partial 16S ribosomal RNA". It matches the Rfam family "Bacterial small subunit ribosomal RNA", at positions 29 to 507 of the family's 1533-position model. The record is from RNAcentral.
AUUGAACGCUGGCGGAAUGCUUUACACAUGCAGGUCGAACGGCAGCACGGGGGCAGCCCUGGUGGCGAGUGGCGAACGGGUGAGUAAUACAUCGGAACGUGCCCGGUCGUGGGGGAUAACGUAGCGAAAGUUACGCUAAUACCGCAUACGAUCUGAGGAUGAAAGCGGGGGACCUUCGGGCCUCGCGCGAUCGGAGCGGCCGAUGUCAGAUUAGGUAGUUGGUGGGGUAAAGGCCUACCAAGCCGACGAUCUGUAGCUGGUCUGAGAGGACGACCAGCCACACUGGGACUGAGACACGGCCCAGACUCCUACGGGAGGCAGCAGUGGGGAAUUUUGGACAAUGGGCGCAGGCCUGAUCCAGCCAUUCCGCGUGCAGGACGAAGGCCUUCGGGUUGUAAACUGCUUUUGUACGGAACGAAAAGGCUCUGGCUAAUACCUGGGGCUCAUGACGGUACCGUAAGAAUAAGCACCGGCUAACUACGUG